CCUACGGGUGGCAGCAGUGGGGAAUAUUGGACAAUGGGGGGAACCCUGAUCCAGCCAUGCCGCGUGUGUGAAGAAGGCCCUCGGGUUGUAAAGCACUUUCAGUGAGGAAGAACGCCUGGUGGUUAAUACCCAUCAGGAAAGACAUCACUCACAGAAGAAGCACCGGCUAACUCCGUGCCAGCAGCCGCGGUAAUACGGAGGGUGCGAGCGUUAAUCGGAAUUACUGGGCGUAAAGCGCGCGUAGGUGGCUUGAUAAGCCGGUUGUGAAAGCCCCGGGCUCAACCUGGGAACGGCAUCCGGAACUGUCAAGCUAGAGUGCAGGAGAGGAAGGUAGAAUUCCCGGUGUAGCGGUGAAAUGCGUAGAGAUCGGGAGGAAUACCAGUGGCGAAGGCGGCCUUCUGGACUGACACUGACACUGAGGUGCAAAAGCGUGGGUAGCAAACAGGAUUAGAUACCCGUGUAGUC
RNAcentral lists this ribosomal RNA (465 nucleotides) under Vreelandella stevensii. RNAcentral describes it as "partial 16S ribosomal RNA". It matches the Rfam family "Bacterial small subunit ribosomal RNA", at positions 338 to 795 of the family's 1533-position model. The record is from RNAcentral. Lineage: Bacteria; Pseudomonadati; Pseudomonadota; Gammaproteobacteria; Oceanospirillales; Halomonadaceae.